Molecule: ribosomal RNA, 253 nt
Filed under: uncultured bacterium
Lineage: Bacteria
Description: partial 16S ribosomal RNA
Rfam family: Bacterial small subunit ribosomal RNA
Source: RNAcentral
UACGGAGGGGGCUAGCGUUAUUCGGAAUUACUGGGCGUAAAGCGCACGUAGGCGGCUAUUCAAGUCAGAGGUGAAAGCCUGGAGCUUAACUCCAGAACUGCCUUUGAAACUAGAUAGCUUGAACAUCGGAGAGGUAAGUGGAAUUCCGAGUGUAGAGGUGAAAUUCGUAGAUAUUCGGAAGAACACCAGUGGCGAAGGCGGCUUACUGGACGAUUGUUGACGCUGAGGUGCGAAAGCGUGGGGAGCAAACAGG